GACGAACGCUGGCGGCGUGCUUAACACAUGCAAGUCGAGCGGAAAGGCCCCUUCGGGGGUACUCGAGCGGCGAACGGGUGAGUAACACGUGGGUAAUCUGCCCAGGACACAGGAAUAACCGGUGGAAACGCCGGCUAAUGCCUGAUGAGGUGCCGGCCUUGCGGGGCUCGGUACCAAAGGUAGCUUCGGCCUCCGGUCUUGGAUGAGCCCGCGGCCCAUUAGCUUGUUGGUGGGGUAAUGGCCACCAAGGCGACGAUGGGUAGCUGGUCUGAGAGGACGAUCAGCCACACUGGGACUGAGACACGGCCCAGACUCCUACGGGAGGCAGCAGUGGGGAAUCUUGCGCAAUGGGCGAAAGCCUGACGCAGCAACGCCGCGUGCGGGAAGAAGGUCUUCGGGUUGUAAACCGCUUUCAGUGGGGACGAAGGCGACCGGGUUAAUAGCCCGUGUCGUUGACGGUACCUACAGAAGAAGGUCCGGCUAACUACGUGCCAGCAGCCGCAGUAAAAC
RNAcentral lists this ribosomal RNA (510 nucleotides) under uncultured bacterium. RNAcentral describes it as "bacterial SSU rRNA". It matches the Rfam family "Bacterial small subunit ribosomal RNA", at positions 28 to 526 of the family's 1533-position model. The record is from RNAcentral.